GCUUAGAUAACUUAACGGUAAAGUAAAACUCUGAAGAAGUUUGAAUUUAGGUUCAAUUCCUAAUCUUGGCA
Pneumocystis murina is the source of this 71-nucleotide non-coding RNA. The record is from Rfam. Lineage: Eukaryota; Fungi; Ascomycota; Pneumocystomycetes; Pneumocystales; Pneumocystaceae.